This is a long non-coding RNA of Mustela erminea (ermine), 853 nucleotides long. RefSeq lists it as uncharacterized. The record is from RefSeq and is a predicted model, not a curated record. The transcript is spliced from 3 exons. NCBI's taxonomy places the organism in Eukaryota, Metazoa, Chordata, Mammalia, Carnivora, Mustelidae.
AGGACCUGAGCUGAUACCAAGAGUCAGAUGCUUAACCACAGCAUCACCCCGGUGCCCCAUAGCACCUGAUUUUACUUUGCUCUGUUGCAUACUGCUCACUUGUCCUCUCCUGCCGUGUCUUGACUGACAGUGGGCACACAGGAAUGAACAGCCAGGGGCUUGGAUGUCAGCUUUUUCACGACACUCUCCCAACAUGGAUGAAUGCUGCUGGGCCCCGUAUUUCCCAUCAUGGUUUGAACUUAACUUUCUUGGCACGGGAAAAAAAAAAAACUGGGACAAUUAUAGGCUUUUCAUGUAGGGUAUGAUAAGGGGCACUUACACUUCAUAACAGCAAAUGUAUAAACACUUGUAGCCUUGCAAGGGUGUGUGUGUUUGUGUCUGUGUCUGUGUUUGCAUGUGCAUAUGCACAAAAGCCGAGGGCAGAGAGUGAAAGAAAGAAUUAUUUCCAAGCAAUAAGUUAUGAACACUGACCUUUAACAUACAUUAACUUGGCCAGUAAAGAAACUUGGACCAGUGAGUAUCUGAGAAGUCUGCAAUUCUCCCAGUUUUCAUCCUCUGCCAAGAAAGUUAAGAUCAAACCUUGAUGGGAGGCAGGAACCUAGCAGCAUUCACCCAUGGCAAGAGAGUACCAUGAAAAAGCUGACCUUCAAUCCCUCGGCUCUUCAUUUCUGCAUGCCCACUGUAUCCAUCAAGACACUGCAGGAGAGGACAGAAGCGGGAUUCAAACUUUCAGAGACAAUGAGGAACGGAGAGAUCAAUACUCACUGAACCCUCUUCAUUCUCUCUUUCUCACCAUAUCAGAGAGUCAUAGGUGGGGACUCUUGAUUGUUCAGAAGUGUUCCAGGGUGCACCU